This 621-nucleotide ribosomal RNA is filed under the name Lacticaseibacillus rhamnosus. RNAcentral describes it as "bacterial SSU rRNA". It matches the Rfam family "Bacterial small subunit ribosomal RNA", at positions 378 to 990 of the family's 1533-position model. The record is from RNAcentral. Lineage: Bacteria; Bacillati; Bacillota; Bacilli; Lactobacillales; Lactobacillaceae.
CAAGUCUGAUGGAGCAACGCCGCGUGAGUGAAGAAGGCUUUCGGGUCGUAAAACUCUGUUGUUGGAGAAGAAUGGUCGGCAGAGUAACUGUUGUCGGCGUGACGGUAUCCAACCAGAAAGCCACGGCUAACUACGUGCCAGCAGCCGCGGUAAUACGUAGGUGGCAAGCGUUAUCCGGAUUUAUUGGGCGUAAAGCGAGCGCAGGCGGUUUUUUAAGUCUGAUGUGAAAGCCCUCGGCUUAACCGAGGAAGUGCAUCGGAAACUGGGAAACUUGAGUGCAGAAGAGGACAGUGGAACUCCAUGUGUAGCGGUGAAAUGCGUAGAUAUAUGGAAGAACACCAGUGGCGAAGGCGGCUGUCUGGUCUGUAACUGACGCUGAGGCUCGAAAGCAUGGGUAGCGAACAGGACUAGAUACCCUGGUAGUCCAUGCCGUAAACGAUGAAUGCUAGGUGUUGGAGGGUUUCCGCCCUUCAGUGCCGCAGCUAACGCAUUAAGCAUUCCGCCUGGGGAUUACGACCGCAAGGUUGAAACUCAAAGGAAUUGACGGGGGCCCGCACAAGCGGUGGAGCAUGUGGUUUAAUUCGAAGCAACGCGAAGAACCUUACCAGGUCUUGACAUCUU